This 77-nucleotide transfer RNA is filed under the name Oribacterium sp. oral taxon 078 str. F0262. RNAcentral describes it as "tRNA-Met". It matches the Rfam family "tRNA". Rfam says of the family: Transfer RNA (tRNA) molecules are approximately 80 nucleotides in length. Lineage: Bacteria; Bacillati; Bacillota; Clostridia; Lachnospirales; Lachnospiraceae. The record is from RNAcentral. RNAcentral also lists the same sequence under 1 other name.
CGCGGGAUGGAGCAGUCUGGUAGCUCGUCGGGCUCAUAACCCGAAGGUCGUAGGUUCAAAUCCUACUCCCGCAACGA